Molecule: ribosomal RNA, 460 nt
Filed under: uncultured bacterium
Lineage: Bacteria
Description: partial 16S ribosomal RNA
Rfam family: Bacterial small subunit ribosomal RNA
Source: RNAcentral
CCUACGGGAGGCAGCAGUGAGGAAUAUUGGUCAAUGGACGCAAGUCUGAACCAGCCAUGCCGCGUGCAGGAAGACGGCUCUAUGAGUUGUAAACUGCUUUUGUACGAGGGUAAACGCAGAUACGUGUAUCUGUCUGAAAGUAUCGUACGAAUAAGGAUCGGCUAACUCCGUGCCAGCAGCCGCGGUAAUACGGAGGAUUCAAGCGUUAUCCGGAUUUAUUGGGUUUAAAGGGUGCGUAGGCGGUCGGAUAAGUUAGAGGUGAAAUCCCGAGGCUCAACUUCGGAAUUGCCUCUGAUACUGUUCGGCUAGAGAGUAGUUGCGGUAGGCGGAAUGUAUGGUGUAGCGGUGAAAUGCUUAGAGAUCAUACAGAACACCGAUUGCGAAGGCAGCUUACCAAGCUACUUCUGACGUUGAGGCACGAAAGCGUGGGGAGCGAACAGGAUUAGAUACCCCUGUAGUC